RNAcentral lists this ribosomal RNA (507 nucleotides) under uncultured Glomus. RNAcentral's name for it is "SSU rRNA". It matches the Rfam family "Eukaryotic small subunit ribosomal RNA", at positions 569 to 1077 of the family's 1831-position model. Lineage: Eukaryota; Fungi; Glomeromycota; Glomeromycetes; Glomerales; Glomeraceae. The record is from RNAcentral.
AGCAGCCGCGGUAAUUCCAGCUCCAAUAGCGUAUAUUAAAGUUGUUGCAGUUAAAAAGCUCGUAGUUGAAUUUCGGGGUUAGUAGGCUGGUCAUGCCACCGGUAUGUACUGGUCUUUCUGAUUCCUCCUUCCUGAUGAACUGUAAUGCCAUUAAUUUGGUGUUGCAGGGAAUCUGGACUGUUACUUUGAAAAAAUUAGAGUGUUUAAAGCAGGCUAACGCUUGAAUACAUUAGCAUGGAAUAAUGAAAUAGGACGCUCGAUCCUAUUUUGUUGGUUUCUAGGAUUGACGUAAUGAUUAAUAGGGAUAGUUGGGGGCAUUAGUAUUCAAUUGUCAGAGGUGAAAUUCUUGGAUUUAUUGAAGACUAACUACUGCGAAAGCAUUUGCCAAGGAUGUUUUCAAUAAUCAAGAACGAAAGUUAGGGGAUCGAAGACGAUCAGAUACCGUCGUAGUCUUAACCAUAAACUAUGCCGACUAGGGAUCGGAUGAUGUUAAUUUUUUAAUGACUC